UCGGGAAUUUUGGGCAAUGGGCGAAAGCCUGACCCAGCAACGCCGCGUGAAGGAUGAAGUAUUUCGGUAUGUAAACUUCGUAAGAAUAGGAAGAAUAAAUGACGGUACUAUUUGUAAGGUCCGGCUAACUACGUGCCAGCAGCCGCGGUAAUACGUAGGGACCAAGCGUUGUUCGGAUUUACUGGGCGUAAAGGGCGCGUAGGCGGUGUGUCAAGUCAGUUGUGAAAUCUCCGAGCUUAACUCGGAACGGUCAACUGAUACUGUCACACUAGAGUACAGAAGGGGCAAUCGGAAUUCUUGGUGUAGCGGUGAAAUGCGCAGAUAUCAAGAGGAACACCUGAGGCGAAGGCGGGUUGCUGGGCUGAUACUGACGCUGAGGCGCGAAAGCUAGGGUAGCAAACGGGAUUAGAUACCCUAGUAGUCCCUGAGCGGGCUGGCAAGGCGCAU
Molecule: ribosomal RNA, 447 nt
Filed under: uncultured bacterium
Lineage: Bacteria
Description: bacterial SSU rRNA
Rfam family: Bacterial small subunit ribosomal RNA
Source: RNAcentral